Molecule: long non-coding RNA, 1205 nt
Organism: Mercurialis annua (annual mercury)
Lineage: Eukaryota; Viridiplantae; Streptophyta; Magnoliopsida; Malpighiales; Euphorbiaceae
Exons: 6
Source: RefSeq, a predicted model, not a curated record
CUUGUGAAGACAAAGCUGAUAAAUACUUAAAACUUCAAAAUGGAUAAACGGGCCAAAAGAGCUGCAAAUAUAAAAAAUUACACCAAUAUCCCCUAUCAAAUGCCAUUCAAAAGGCUCAAAAAGUUUCUAACAUUAUCGGGAGCAGAUUUUCAAUUUUUAUUUUGUGCUCUCCUUUUCUCUCUUUUAGGGUUCCAACAGCAGCGACGACCUUCAUCCACCUCCUCCGCCUCUACCGCUGUGAAAUCAUCAUCGCCAUCUGUUACUUCAAUUAAGCAGGUGAUUCAGCUUUCGCGGUUGCCAAUCAUCUAAACUCAACUACUUUUCUUUUUCCUGCAGAGUCUUGAUGCUUUGUUGAGGAAGAAGGCCAUUGCAAUUCCAGCACCGGUUUCACUUCUCUUAGGAGGCGAGCUUGAUUUCUCCAGAACAAUUAUAUCACAUUCUGCUAUCAUGAGGUGCGCAUGAAAUUCCAAUUCUUUCAGAUUUUGAUUUUGACAAUGUUGCUUCAGCUGUUAAUAUAGCAUACGAGAAAGGAGCUACUCAUGUAGCUAUAACUUGUAACAGAGAACUAGUGAAGCUUCCGGAACUUUACAAGAGAAUGAGUUCUUACUUCUUUUUGACUAUCCAUGGUAGUUUAUGGCAUUUCCCAUUCUAUAUGAGUUGCUUUCUCAUUAUAAAUACAGGAGUUAAUUGUACCAAGUUUUACCUUCAUAAACUUUAAGCAAUAUAUGAAUAAUUUAGUCUCCCUUGUUUGAGAUACAAGAUAUAGAGCUUAACAUCCAAGUCCAAAUGACCAAAUAUUCCAUUAUCUCGAGGGGUGGUAAAUUGCAUAUGCAAUUAAUUGGGCAUGCAGUGGAUAAUGGUGGGCAUCGUGAAAAUGGAAGACUCAAAGUUUAGGUUUUCAAUUAUUUGAUUAUAUAUAAUGGGCAUGCAAUGGAUAAACAUAGCCUGAUUGCUUAUCCAACCAUCACUCUUGGCAGCUUUGAUGCAUUCACUCCAGUUAAUUUUAUUUGUAAAGCUUUAAAUAUGGGACUAACAUUGUAAUUAUUUAUGCAGGAUGGAAGAAGUAGAAGCGCAGUGUGCAUUACUAAACUCCGGAUCAUUAUGUCAAAUUCAGUUCUAAUAACUGAACAAGAACAAAGGCAAACAAAGUGAAAAUUCGGAUUCUGAAACGUUAAAAUUCGGUUCUGAAAGCGCUAUUUUGAGUG